Molecule: ribosomal RNA, 492 nt
Filed under: uncultured bacterium
Lineage: Bacteria
Description: partial 16S ribosomal RNA
Rfam family: Bacterial small subunit ribosomal RNA
Source: RNAcentral
GAUGAACGCUAGCUACAGGCUUAACACAUGCAAGUCGAGGGGAAACGACAUCGAAAGCUUGCUUUUGAUGGGCGUCGACCGGCGCACGGGUGAGUAACGCGUAUCCAACCUGCCCAUCACUUGGGGAUAACCUUGCGAAAGUAAGACUAAUACCCAAUGAUAUCUCUAGAAGACAUCUGAAAGAGAUUAAAGAUUUAUCGGUGAUGGAUGGGGAUGCGUCUGAUUAGCUUGUUGGCGGGGUAACGGCCCACCAAGGCAACGAUCAGUAGGGGUUCUGAGAGGAAGGUCCCCCACAUUGGAACGGAGACACGGUCCAAACUCCUACGGGAGGCAGCAGUGAGGAAUAUUGGUCAAUGGGCGAGAGCCUGAACCAGCCAAGUAGCGUGCAGGAAGACGGCCCUAUGGGUUGUAAACUGCUUUUAGAAGGGAAUAAAGUGAGAGUCGUGACUCUUUUUGUAUGUACCUGAUGAAUAAGGACCGGCUAAUUCCGUG